UUCAAAAAUACUUCAGGGAGUGGUGGUGAUUAGGGAGAGGAAAGAGUGAAACUGACAUUUCAAAAGGUACUCUUUGUAAAAUGUGAUUUUUAAAAACCUGAUCAAGAGGGAUGGAAACUCUCAUACAAUGCUGAUUGCAGGCCUAACCACGUGCAUCUGGCAAAACUACUAGCUGGAAUUAAUGGUGCAAUGAGGAAAUGUGGAAGAAUUUCUCUCUGUGAUGCUAACUGGCUCACUGAAGUUUUGAAACUGUGACCCUGGUCUAUUAGCACCACGCUUUACUCAACUGAAAUAAUCAAGCCACUGCUAUGGGGUGAAGGACAGGGGAUGGGGUGAGAAGGGGACCGAGGGCAAUUAUAUACAUGAAUAAUUACCAUGAUAUGCAGUGAAAAUUUGUCUAUUAACAUAUUUGAGGCUUGAGACUCAUUGAUCACAGCUAUUAAAUAAA
Molecule: long non-coding RNA, 448 nt
Organism: Lagenorhynchus albirostris (white-beaked dolphin)
Lineage: Eukaryota; Metazoa; Chordata; Mammalia; Artiodactyla; Delphinidae
Exons: 3
Source: RefSeq, a predicted model, not a curated record